UUGCUCUUGCUUCAACAGUGCUUGAACGGAGCAG
Anolis carolinensis (green anole) is the source of this 34-nucleotide regulatory RNA element. It matches the Rfam family "Iron response element I". Lineage: Eukaryota; Metazoa; Chordata; Lepidosauria; Squamata; Anolidae. The record is from Rfam.